UCAAUCACUGCUCCGCAGCGUUUUUCGAUUAUGCAACUUAAAAAGAAAUGAAUGAAAGUUGAUGUAAGUGGGGCGAAAAUAUACGACGAAAUUUUGGCUGAAAUCACGACUUGGUUAUUUUCCAGACUAAAUUAAUAAUCUUUUGCCGAUUUCCAUCAGAGGAAUGUAAAAACACAAACACAUACGUAUAUUUGUAUGUAGCUAGAUUAGUCAAGGCCGGAAUAGCUUCUCAUCUGUUCAAUCAAGGUCAACUUUCGGCUAAACAACAACACUUUGUUGUUGUUUUACGUGGGAGGAGAGAUUUAGCCUUUUAUUUAUUUAUUUACUUCUCUCCCCCAGAUGAGGGCAAUGUCUAAUUUCUUGGUGCCAAAGUAUUAUCGAAAGGAUUUGAGCAUAAACUGCUCGACUUUGUAACGUAUACAAAGAGGGGAAGACACGGUUCGUUGAUUGACUAAGAAACGAAUUUUAAAAUAAACUUGUACUUCGACCUUCCAACAGAGAAAUCUAGAAAUUCAAUGGCAUUUUUUCUUAACAACAGUUCCUUCCUGUCUCUCAUUGGUUUAUAUCGUAAGUGAAGACAUCUGUUAAGAAAGAAACUUGUUCCUCUUUAACCAAGAGCCUAAAACAGAGAUUUUGCAUGAUGUUAAAUUAUACCAUUUCAUUAGAAAACGGUUACAUGUACCAAUUCCAGUUCGAGGCUUCGACGGUGAUCCUCGUAUUCGUUAUAGUCGUUUGCACCUGCCUCUUCUUUAUAACGUGUUGCUGUCAAUUCCACACUUGGUGUUCAAGAUGUCAACAACAAAAAGAGACAGUGAGACACACCAAGAACCUUCGUAAAAAUUGUAGAAAACUCAAGAGAAAAUGGAAUAUCUUCUGACAGCUGACAGAUACAUACAUCCACCAUACACACACACACACAUAUAUAUAUAUAUAUAAAUGAAUUCUUUGAAAUACCUAUUUGUAUGUAUAAAUGUAAAACUGAGUCCAAGCAAGAAGUCAAUACUUAGAGUUAUUUAUUCUGAAAUCAUCAGACAGCUGAUAAUACUUGACACUUGCUUGCAUAUAGACUCUGAUUUAAGCCAAAAAAAAAUAUAGCAUGGAUGAUAGACUCCACACACACAUUGGAAUAUCAAUGUAUAAAAGCAUCAUAAAAUAUUCAUACAAAGCCCUUUGUGUAAAUAUAUAUAUUUGCAGAAUUAUAUAAAAAUUAACAAAUGGUCAACAGAAAAAUGUCCUGUUGUCUUUUGUAUAUCUUUUACCUUUUACUGGUUUUGGCCAUGCUGGGGCAUCAUCUUGAAAGGUUUGGCUGGACACAUUGACCUGAGAACUUAUUUCUUUUAAGCUUGGUAUUUAUUACAUUGGUGUCCUUUGCUGAACUGCUAAGUUAUGUUGGUGAUGGGGUGGAGAUAAACACAUUGACACACACACACAUAUGUAUAUGCAGUAGUUAACUUCUUUGUCCCCUCAAAAGAAUGCUGGCCUUGUGCCAAAGUGACAAUAAAAGUGACAAGCUGACAAAACCAUUAUUGCAGACAGCAUUUUUU
Octopus bimaculoides (California two-spot octopus) is the source of this 1544-nucleotide unclassified non-coding RNA. The record is from RefSeq and is a predicted model, not a curated record. NCBI's taxonomy places the organism in Eukaryota, Metazoa, Mollusca, Cephalopoda, Octopoda, Octopodidae.